RNAcentral lists this ribosomal RNA (578 nucleotides) under uncultured bacterium. Its description in RNAcentral is "partial 16S ribosomal RNA". It matches the Rfam family "Bacterial small subunit ribosomal RNA", at positions 355 to 932 of the family's 1533-position model. The record is from RNAcentral.
UGGGGAAUUUUGGACAAUGGGCGAAAGCCUGAUCCAGCAAUGCCGCGUGUGUGAAGAAGGCCUUCGGGUUGUAAAGCACUUUUGUCCGGAAAGAAAUCCUUGGCUCUAAUACAGUCGGGGGAUGACGGUACCGGAAGAAUAAGCACCGGCUAACUACGUGCCAGCAGCCGCGGUAAUACGUAGGGUGCAAGCGUUAAUCGGAAUUACUGGGCGUAAAGCGUGCGCAGGCGGUUUGCUAAGACCGAUGUGAAAUCCCCGGGCUCAACCUGGGAACUGCAUUGGUGACUGGCAGGCUAGAGUAUGGCAGAGGGGGGUAGAAUUCCACGUGUAGCAGUGAAAUGCGUAGAGAUGUGGAGGAAUACCGAUGGCGAAGGCAGCCCCCUGGGCCAAUACUGACGCUCAUGCACGAAAGCGUGGGGAGCAAACAGGAUUAGAUACCCUGGUAGUCCACGCCCUAAACGAUGUCAACUAGUUGUUGGGGAUUCAUUUCCUAGUAACGUAGCUAACGCGUGAAGUUGACCGCCUGGGGAGUACGGUCGCAAGAUUAAAACUUAAAUGAAUUGACGGGGUCAUAGCUG